RNAcentral lists this unclassified non-coding RNA (328 nucleotides) under plant metagenome. RNAcentral's name for it is "partial contains 5.8S ribosomal RNA, internal transcribed spacer 2, and large subunit ribosomal RNA". The stretch from base 1 to 105 matches the Rfam family "5.8S ribosomal RNA", at positions 50 to 154 of the family's 154-position model. The record is from RNAcentral.
GAAAUGCGAUAAGUAAUGUGAAUUGCAGAAUUCCGUGAAUCAUCGAAUCUUUGAACGCACAUUGCGCCCUCUGGUAUUCCGGGGGGCAUGCCUGUCCGAGCGUCAUUGUGAACCCCUCAAGCACGGCUUGUGUGAUGGGCCCUCCCGCGUCUUGAUCGUCAAGACGGGCCCGAAAUGCAGUGGCGGCUUCGCGGUUAUCCGAUCAGCCAGAGCGUAUGGGGACUCUCUCUCUGUCACACGCCCGCGGCGCGGACCGACGCCUGUCGACCUUUAUUCAUCUUUUCUCGGUUGACCUCGGAUCAGGUAGGGAUACCCGCUGAACUUAAGC